This is a long non-coding RNA of Cornus florida, 840 nucleotides long. RefSeq lists it as uncharacterized. The record is from RefSeq and is a predicted model, not a curated record. NCBI's taxonomy places the organism in Eukaryota, Viridiplantae, Streptophyta, Magnoliopsida, Cornales, Cornaceae. The transcript is spliced from 3 exons.
ACUUCUCCAUGUCGUAAAUAUCACAAUUAGUGUCACAGUUUAUGAGAUGGUGAAACAUGGACAAAGACGGAGGUAGUAUAUAUUAUCAAACCCUACUUUCUAUUUUCGCUUUCUGCUAUGUCUUCUCUAAACCGUAGCGGCGAAUCACCCCCACCUCCUGAAGCGACCGACGAUGCGGAUGACAGAAGCGGAACCGCUGAAAAUUGCUUGUUGAAGCAGGUUCACUUUUUGAGAAGAAGCUAGAAAGCUCAGUCAAACGAGUGGUAUCGAAAAAAGUGUCUCGCAAUAUGUGCCCUGAAAACUCAACGAUGUGACCAAAGGUGCUGAGGAUUGUGGAAGCUUUAUUGGCAUGUUUGAUUUAUGGCUUUAUUAGCUACCCAUGCAUAUUUAUGCCUUGAAUAUCUUCCAGAAAAUAAGAUAAAUGGCUACAAGUUUGUCAGGACCAUUCCAGACCCUAUCAAAUACAACAAAAAACUCGAACUCGAACUCGAACGUGCUCAUGACUAGAUGCAUCAAUGUGCUCGUGAACUUUCGAAUAUUUCUCCUUAAGCCAAUCUAAUCCUAUAGAAUCACUUCUACAAUUAUUAAUAAAUUCCGAGUCAUCUCGAUCAUUCAAUCUUAAGUAUCUAUUACACAAGUGAAAAAGAGACUUAUAGUGGUGUACGUUCUAUUUUUAGUAAAAGCUCAAAAGACUUUUUUAUUUAAAAAGUUUGUAUUGGUUAAGCUUUAUUUUCGUUUGAUUUAAAAAGUUUGUAUUGGGUAAGCUUUAUUUCAAUGUUUGAUUUAUGGCUUUGAUUUGUGUAUUUACUAUUUUUGAUUUAAAAAGUUUGUAUUGGGUAA